AAAGCGGGUCCAGUCCAUACACG
This 23-nucleotide non-coding RNA is filed under the name Arabidopsis thaliana (thale cress). The record is from RNAcentral. Lineage: Eukaryota; Viridiplantae; Streptophyta; Magnoliopsida; Brassicales; Brassicaceae.